AUCGUGACGUCAUGAAGUGAAUGUGCGUGCAUUUGAAUAACAAAAUAAACGGAGGUGUAUAGUGGAAAAGGAUUCGAUUCAUUUCAAACGUUCUCUCGUACAGGACACGUGUGUGACUGAAUGCAGGGGAAAGAGAAAUAGCCACACCGAGUGUUGGGCUUUUAAUUCACAGUCUUUCCACUGCACUUUGCACCAAGCGCACUUAUACUGAAGCGCACAUCAGUGAAUGUAAGGGAAUUCUGACUUCUUUGAUUCAAGUAGUCAACGCGUGCCGACUUAGCCCGGCUAUUUUAACACAUAUCAUUGAACGGGGAGUUCGAAGGCGUGGAUAUCUCACGUUCAUAGUUACCACACCCAACGACUGUGUUCAUUAUUACUACUAGUCAAAAGUCAGUCGAUUUGGUGAACAGGGUAUAGCAUUUUUACGCUAUACCACCAAAACAUAAACAAUUGGUUCCAUUCUAGAAAUGAGAUCGACAGAAAUGGCUUCACAUAAUAGCACUGGACUUAAUACUGAUUCUAAUAUUGCUCUUAGUCAAAGUAUGGAUUCAGUUAACACAACACCCGAAGAAGAGGUUAGGACGCUGUUUGUUAGUGGAUUACCAAUGGAUGCUAAACCCAGGGAAUUAUACUUAUUAUUCAGGGCAUAUAAAGGUUACGAAGGUUCAUUAUUGAAAGUUACCAGUAAAAAUGGAAAGAAUACCUCACCAGUAGGAUUUGUAACCUUUAUCUCAAGGUUAGCAGCUGAAACUGCCAAGCAGGAUUUACAGGGUGUACGAUUUGACCCAGACUUACCCCAGACAUUGAGGUUAGAGUUUGCUAAAAGCAAUACAAAAGUUACCAAACCCAAACAGCAGUCUCCUCAGCCUGCCGCUACACACCCGACAAUUAUCCAUCCUUUAACAGGGCAAGAGCUAUGUCCCGCCAUCUUCCCAAGCUGUCCGGAGGGCUGGACCCCCCACCCCCUGGCCACAUAUCCGGAGUUGACUCACACCGCUGCCCUGCAUCACACAGCACUGUUGCAGCACCCAGCCCUAACACAGCUCCCGGUACGGCGAGCAUGGGAUGGGCGUGUAGUAUCACCCAGCAAUCAAUUUGUGAUCCAACCCACGGCGCUUAUUGGCCCCCCAGCUACUAUGGGUAUCCCACACCCAUCAUACGCCACUACCCCCGUCUUAGCUAGUCCCACUACCAUGAAUGCAAUGACCACUACCACCAAUUUGAUGACCUCCCAUAAUAUGCCCUGCUCAACAUUAUUUGUUGCUAAUUUGGGGCAGUUUUGUUCAGAACAAGAAUUAAAGGAUUUAUUUGGAACGUUCCAGGGUUUCUGUAGAUUACGUAUGCAUAAUAAAGGUGGUUCUCCAGUAGCCUUCGUAGAAUUCCAGGAUUUAAGAACAGCAACAGAAGCCAUGGCAAGACUUCAAGGCUUUAUGCUCCUUUCAUCUGAUAGAGGGGGUAUACGCAUAGAGUACGCAAGAAAUAAAAUGGGAGAAGCGAUGUAUCAAAUGGCGUUGCCCCAAUCUUUAUAGCUGUGACAUCAGGAAUCUAAUACAGGACGAGCAAAUAUUUAUCUGUCUUAAGGGUAGAAAAGAUGAAUUCCCAAUUAUUCAUUCUCCAGUGGCCAUGGCAUUCUAAACAAAAACAAAGUACAUGUCAAGUAACAAUAUAUUGUAUUGUGAUAUGAAAACAAUCAAGAUUUUAUAAAAAUCAUGAAUUAAGUUUAUUGCGAUAUAAUUAAUAUAUUAUAAGUAUAUAUAUGUGAUUUAUUAUAAAUGUAUAGGUAUAUCUUAUUUCAUGAAUGAAUGCAAAAAAUAUUGAUUUUCGUUGUUUUUUUUAGUACAUGAAUAAUGCUUGAAUUAUUCCAAGAUACACAACUGAAACAUGGUUCUGAGAAAUCCAUUUGUAAUAUUGUUCUGUUCAAAUAUGUAAUUUAUAUAUAUAUAUAUAUAUCUGUUGUAUGUUUGUUAAAUUUUUUUGGUCCAGUUAUCCUCUGAAAUCUUUCAAUCCAUUAUUGUAUAUUUCUUUUUUUUCUUAUAUAUAAAAGUUUAUUAAUAAGUAUACUGUAUUUACAAAUAAUGUACAGGAAUAUGUUAUGGGAAGUGUCAUCGAAACCAAUUCUUCGCUUUCUUUGCAAAAUUCUUGUUGAUGCGGACUCCCCUCUUCAUCCUUUUAUGGCAGGCUGGUGUUACAUAAUUAGUGCUCUCGGCAGAAUUAUGAAAAAAUAUUAGAAGACAACCCCCCAAAUUUUAAUUUUGUUAUCUGGAGGCUCUAUAGUUUCAACUUCAAAUAAAUUUAGAUUUCUGGGCAUGACCAUCCUAUACAACAUUUACUCUUUUUAUUAUCCUGAGGUGUUGUUUUAAGAGAAUUUAAUACAACACAAAAACGUGAUAUAAACAUCAGUGUCUUAACUGACAAUUUUUUAAGUUCAAAAUAUUAUACAAAUAGCUUAAAGUAAGAAAAUGUUUAUUAACCCAAGUCUGGUAAAAUUCAUAAAACAUUGUUAAAAAUAAAACAUUUUUUUACAAUACAAACAUUCAUAGAUAUAAAAAAGAUAACCCAAACAACGCCUAGAUCAAGGGAGGAUACACUUCAGCUUCAGGAAUUUUCUGGUGUCUAUUUAAAACAAAAUUUCCGUCCAAGAAAAUGUACAUAUCGGAGUUUAAGUGUCAUCGAAAUCUUGACUUGACAUCUUUACUUGUGCCGUUUUCAAUCAUGGUGUAUUAAAUAUGACACAAAGUUAGAUUGGUUUUACCAAACUGUUGGUUAUUUUGUGUAAUUUGUAGAACUAGUGUAAAUUAUUAGUGUUUGAUUUCCAUUGUAGGAAAUUAUUAUUUUUUGUUAAAUUAUUAAUUUAAGAAAAUUUGAUAUGUGUUCUCAAUAUUUAUCCACUUUGAUCAUAGCUAUUGUUUGAAACUUUAUACUAUUUAUUGUAUUAUGUGUUCAAAGAGUCCGAUUAUAUGUAGGCUUACAGGUUAAUAUUCUGUGCGAAGUUUUUAUACUGCCCUUCCUGGUACAUGUAUUUCAACAAAUAGUCUUUAGAUAUGCAUUUAAUGUCAGUUAUUUGUAAAACAAUAGUGGGUAAAAUUCAGUUAAGACAUCACUCUAAAAAGCUUUCCUCAUGAACAAUAUUUCUCUGUAGCGAAGACCAUGAAAAAGAUAUGUACAUUAAGUGUGUAAGUGUUGUUAUGUUUUAUGAUAUAGUUAAAAAUAAAAAGAAAGAUUCUAUUUUAUGUAUAUAGACCAGUUUAAUUGUGUUACCAUUGGUUGCGAGGUUUCACCAAUCAACGACUUUGUACAGUCCUUAACAUUCCAAAAUAGUAGGUUCAUUAUUUCUGUUAUAUUUUGUUGCAAAUGUGUUUGAUAAAUUAUUUAUUAUUUUCGUCAGAAAGUUUCUGCUGAUCAAGCUUGAUAACUGGAUGACGUAGCAUUAUAUUAUCAUAAUAAUUAUGUAAAAUUAUUUUCAAUUGUUGGCCCGUAUGCACUAAGUUAUAUUUUAUGUCAUUCUUACGAAAAUCAAAAUUAUCGUCAUUAAUUCUAGUGUCAUAUAUUAAAUCUAUUAAUAAUUGAAAAACAAAAAGUAACUCUUAAAGAAGACCUACAUAACCAAAUUUUUGAUUCCUUGUAAUAAUCUAUAGAUGUAUAUAUUUAAUUAUUAUUGAUUAUAAACUUACAUAUACAUACAGGUCGGCCCUGUCGACUUGGCAAUAUUUAUUCCAAUAUGGAUGUUAUAUUAUUAUAAUUAUUGUAUUAUUAUUAUUAUUAUUAUGAAGUGCUCUAAUUUAUCUUUUCUGUUAAUGGACCGGAAUUCCAGUUUCAUAUAAUCAAAAUACAGGUGCAAAGUCUUGUUUAAAUUUCUAAGAUUUUUGCCUGGCUUAUACUAGCCAUUGUUAACUAGCUAGACUCGAAAUCUUAUUUCAUUUUUCUCAUUUUUUUUCUCUCAUUUUUUGUUUGUUUGGAAGUAGACUCAUGGAAUGCUGAAUUCUUAUUUAUUUUGUAUUGUUGGCUAUGAACAAAACUUGGUGAAUUUUGUGUGUUACUGUGCAACUGUUACAUUUGAACGAGAAAUGUGUUUCAUCAUGUUAGCCUGGGGCUUAUAUAUAUAUAUACAUAUUAUAUAUAUUGCUAUUCUUAUAAAUAGGUUAUUAUCUUAUAUAAGUUAACUUAUAUACCUUUCUAUGUAUCUUUCAUAAUUUGUUUCAUUGUUUUUCUUACAUUAGAAUAUGAUCGGUUAUGGUAUACAGAACCAUUGUUAUAGGUUCUGUUCUACACUGGUUACCACUGUACGGAAAACAUUUAUUUGUUUUUUUUUAGUAAAAAGUUGAUGUCUCUUGUUAGAAGCUAGUCCAUAUAUUUUGAUUUGUCCUGAAUUUUAAGGGAAUUGUCUCUAAAUACAAUGAAUAUAAUAAUGCCUUGAUUUAACAAACAAAAAAUAUGGUUGUGAUGGAUAUAAGGUAAAAAGAAAAGAAAAAAAAAACUUUACCUCAGAAAAUUAGCUAUGUUUAUUCUUAUAUCUUUUUUUUAAAAAUAUAUAACAUCUCCCCCCCCCCUCCCCCAAAUAGGGCGUGUAAAUAAAAUUACAAGGCUUUCAUAAACACUCUAGUUUGCUGCUUAAGCCUACUUUUGAGAAGAGGGUUGGAAUUUAAAUGACUACCAGAUGAUCAAUCUUAGGUACAGUGAAAAUUCUCUGGUGACACGAGUUUCUUAAGAUAGUUCUUCAAUCUUGGGAAGUAGCUUAGUUCAGUAAACCUUCCUCUUACCAGCUUAAGAUGUUGUCACUUGAAAUUUGGCAUUGUUUUCAUGUAGUUAGCCAAGUCUUUGUUAGAACAACUUACAUAAAUUAAUUUUAUAUAUAUAUAUAUGGGGCAUUUUUCUAAGAUGUAUAUGUAUAGAUAGAACUAUUACUAUAUUAAAUGUUUCUGCUAUUUCUUCUCCUUUUUGUGCAAUGAUCAGGUUUGCUCAAGGACUGAGUGUUUGUAGGAUCAUGUAAUCAUGAUGUCAUCAGCUAAUUAGCAUAAUAUUUUGUAUGUAUGUAUAUUGGUGCAUAUAUAUAUAUUUAUAUGUAUACAGACAAAAAGAAAAUCAACCCACUUAUUAUUUGUACAGACACAAAAACGGUACUGAUAUUAAAAUUAUUAAAUAGUUGCAUAUGCUACUCUAACUGUUGUGUACAUAGUUUUGUUUAAUGAUUUUGGGGGUCAAAGAACUGUGAUGUAUAUAGUAAAACAAAGAUUGGAGCUGAUGACCUCAUGAUUACCAUUUCUAUAUAGGGGUCGUUUUUUUUCUAGAUAGCUGGCAUAUUUUUUAUCUGGAAGUUAUUGUUCUCUACAUUUAAUAAAUUAGUAUCUCAAUUUC
RNA transcript from Patella vulgata (common limpet), 5352 nucleotides. It is a transcript of the gene named protein couch potato, with no coding region annotated. The transcript has 12 exons. NCBI's taxonomy places the organism in Eukaryota, Metazoa, Mollusca, Gastropoda, Patellidae. The record is from RefSeq and is a predicted model, not a curated record.